GACGAACGCUGGCGGCGUGCUUAACACAUGCAAGUCGAACGAAGAGCGAUGGAAGCUUGCUUCUAUCAAUCUUAGUGGCGAACAGGUGAGUAACGCGUAAUCAACCUGCCCUUCAGAGGGGGACAACAGUUGGAAACGACUGCUAAUACCGCAUACGAUCUAAUCUCGGCAUCGAGGAUAGAUGAAAGGUGGCCUCUACAUGUAAGCUAUCACUGAAGGAGGGGAUUGCGUCUGAUUAGCUAGUUGGAGGGGUAACGGCCCACCAAGGCGAUGAUCGGUAGCCGGUCUGAGAGGAUGAACGGCCACAUUGGGACUGAGACACGGCCCAGACUCCUACGGGAGGCAGCAGUGGGGAAUCUUCCGCAAUGGACGAAAGUCUGACGGAGCAACGCCGCGUGAGUGACGACGGCCUUCGGGUUGUAAAGCUCUGUUAAUCGGGACGAAAGGCCUUCUUGCGAAUAGUGAGAAGGAUUGACGGUACCGGAAUAGAAAGCCACGGCUAACUACGUG
Molecule: ribosomal RNA, 510 nt
Filed under: uncultured bacterium
Lineage: Bacteria
Description: partial 16S ribosomal RNA
Rfam family: Bacterial small subunit ribosomal RNA
Source: RNAcentral